RNAcentral lists this ribosomal RNA (211 nucleotides) under uncultured bacterium. RNAcentral describes it as "partial 16S ribosomal RNA". It matches the Rfam family "Bacterial small subunit ribosomal RNA", at positions 524 to 734 of the family's 1533-position model. The record is from RNAcentral.
UACGUAGGGCGCAAGCGUUAUCCGGAAUUAUUGGGCGUAAAGAGCUCGUAGGCGGUUUGUCGCGUCUGCCGUGAAAGUCCGGGGCUCAACUCCGGAUCUGCGGUGGGUACGGGCAGACUAGAGUGAUGUAGGGGAGACUGGAAUUCCUGGUGUAGCGGUGAAAUGCGCAGAUAUCAGGAGGAACACCGGUGGCGAAGGCGGGUCUCUGGGC